Siniperca chuatsi (mandarin fish) is the source of this 3989-nucleotide long non-coding RNA. RefSeq lists it as uncharacterized. The transcript has 2 exons. Lineage: Eukaryota; Metazoa; Chordata; Actinopteri; Centrarchiformes; Sinipercidae. The record is from RefSeq and is a predicted model, not a curated record.
CAGACUGGGUGGUUUUGCCUGUGUUUCCCCUUCAGGUUAAUAUUUUAUGGAUGUGCAAUACAGUUCAGAUGACAGUGCGAGAUGACUGAGAGUCGGCGUGCAGGCGUCAAGAGUUCAGCGAUUUAUUAGAAGGGAGGGAAUGUGGCACGGAGGAGAGUGAGGCUGAAUCUGAGAAAUGUGUUAGUAGCUGUUAAUGUGAGGAGUCUCAAAAUGACUAAAGUUUGUGCUUGUACGUGUAUGCACGCACAUGCGUGAGAUGAGUGAGUGCUAUCUGCAACCCGAGACCAUGAAAAAGAAGAGGCACCAGCAGUACAGAUGUAUCUUUCUCGGAGCCCAACAUGAAACACAGGAAACGGCCUCUUUGAUCAUUACCUACCUGUCAGUCUGCCCUCCACAGGGACCGCCUGUUACGACUGCUGAUGUGCUGCACUGGCAGGCCAGAAACACACAUGCAAACUCAAACAGAUCGAGAGCGAAAAAAGCAGCACCGCUAUGAGUCUGACUGGUGUCGACAUUCAAAGUUGUCCCCGAGGAGGUAUAACCAUGACGACCAACAGUGUGGGCAAAGCGCAGGUUUAUUAUUCUAUAUUUGGAUUCCAAUUAGCCUCAGUGACUGCGAGGCUUGCUGGGGUCCACAUUCGUAUUCAUACCAAUGGGCAAUUUGGUUUCCACUCCCUGUGAUUGUAUGUUUGUUGAAUGUGGGAAGAAACAAGCAGAAACCCACGUGAUCAAAGGGAGAACAUGGUGAGUCAAAGGCAAGCAAGCUUUUCCAAGUUAAUGUGUUUGACUUACUGCAUCUACAGUACAACAUUUGGAUAGGGUCAGCAUUGGAAUGUGAAUGCCAGUCUGUCCUUCUGUGAGAAACUUAACCACUCUACCACCCAGUAUUUUUUCAUGAAAAAAAAAAAAAAUUUGAAAUAUUUGUUGUUGAUUGCAUUUUCUCUCCUUUCCUACACAGCUUGCAUGACCAGCAUUGCUUGCUAUACUGGACCUUGUUGUAUUUCUGCUUAGAAAUCUUGCCACAUUUCCAGAUCGCAGCAAGUUCGAAAAUUUGUGUUGUAACUGUGAGGACUAAUGUCCAAAAAUAGUAAAAAAUAAUAAAAUAAUAAUAAAUAAGUAAGAAGAAUUGAAAUUUUCUUUAAACACUUUUUAAACAGCUUUAAAGGAUCAGUUCAACCAAAUUACAAAAACAUAUUUCCUCAGUUUACUCCAGUGGUAGUCAUACGGUAUUGGUUUGGUAUUGGUAUUGCAGUCCUCACAGCACUGAAAAUAUCAACCCUGUCACCAGACAAAGAAGUCAAUAUUGGACUAAUCUGCAAAACCCCAAAUUAUGUCCAAUACCAACAUAUUUUUAAACUCUCACUUUCUACAAUACUUAGUAUUGUAAGGUAUGGUUAAGAUUAAAAGAUCUUGGUUACGGCAAAUAAACUAUGGCUAAGGUGUGGUUAGGGUUAGGCAACUACAACACAUGGCUGAGGUCAGAGAAAGAUAAUCUGUGACAGGAUCCAAACUCUGGUCUCCUGCAUGAGUCUAAUGUCUAAUGCACUACACGUCUCUCCAAUACCCCACUCACAACACUACAAUCCGCCUCACUACAAAGGGCAUCCUCCUUCCUGCACUGACACUGAAUGUUGGCACUGAACGUAAAUUGUGAGCUGUGGAUUCGUCCAAUAUGGAGAUACUGGACUGGAAAAUUUACAUUAAAAAAUCUCUUUCCAGAAAUAUUAUCCUGCUUACUCUGGAUAAUCCAGAAAACACACUGUCAACAGUUUUCUUUGGACUGUUUCUUCUGUAUGAUUAGUUCUAAUGAAAACUGUUCAAAUUGUUGAAAAUUGAAAACAAUUUUAAUAAUAUUUCAUUGCUGUGAGCACCGCAAACAAAAUAUCAUUCACUUCCAUUGUAUUGGGGUGGAAGCAGAAAUCUCAAAGUCAGACAUCUCAAAACCUGGACAAGUGAUACUAAAACUAACUAAAUGGCUAUAAACCACUAGGGAUAAAUGAGAAAAAUACUUUUUUGUAAUUUGGGUGACCUGACCCUUUAAGGCUACUGCUGCAAAGACGAGUAUCAGCAGGACAACUGGCUUCAGCCUACACCCUGUGCAGACACCCGCUGGCUUUGCCAAAAACUAACUUUGCUAACCAACUCCUAAUGCGAGACAGUCUAAAAGUGUCCUAUAUUGUAUUUGUAAUGUCUGUGGUUUCUUUGUAUCUGUGGGUUAACAACUGUUGGUCACCAUUUUCAAAAGGAAUCCUUUAGAGGCUCAGUUUGCUAAAGCUUGUUAGGGGAAUAUGUGCACCUUUAUGAUCAAUCAAACAGUUUCUAAAUCCUCAUUCUCUUCUGCUGCCGUUGUCGCUUUUUCACCACGGUCCCUGUUGCUCUGGUUCUCUGAUUUUUCUGUCACCGCUGUUUCCAGCUUCCAUAGGUUAAAGUUACCUCUUUAAUCUUCAUGUGCCCCCACUGGCACAGAGUGUAAACAAAUGAACAAUAUAAUGCAGCAGCAAGUAUACACACAUUUAUAUGCAGAACCGUGUUUGGUUGUGUUUCUAUUUCAGGCGAGUUCGACUUCUUUGUUAGUGUACCAACCACAUGACUUAGGGUGGUCACAUUUGGUUGCAGCAAUUUACACAGUUUAAAUUGUAAUGGCUUUUCCACAUCUUCCUCAGAAACAACUAACUACUUUGGGGAUACACUGCGCGACCACAGCUCUGACACCAUUAGCAUAUAUUGUUCUGUCAAUUUAAAGAUCAGAGCGUCAGAUCUUGCAGCACAACAUCAAAGACCCCUCAGCAAUCAAGCAAACCAGAGUCCACCAGACUGACAGACUCACACGUAUUCACAGGUGCUUAUUGCAUCUGUGCGGCUAUACAGCACACCGCGUCUGUACCUUCAAGUCUGCAAACACACUAAUAUGAUCACAUCACUUAACGUUCCCUUAUCUCUGCCUGCACUUCUCACCUCAGAUAAAGAAAAUGUAUAUCUAUCAGUGAUUCAGCUGCCUGUGUACAUUUAAAACAGAAUGUAACACACACAAUAUAAAUUCAAAGACAUUAUGCUAAAUAAAUAAUGCAGUUGCACAGUAGUGGAGGAUGUAUUCAGAUAGUUGUUUAAGGAAAAAUAGAAAUACCACAAUGGUAAAAUAACAAAUAAGCAAUAGUCACGUAAAAGUAAAAGUAUGUAUUAUCAGCAAAAUGUAUGUAUGUAUCAACGGUAUCAAAAAUAAAACCCCUCAUUAUGCAGAGUGGUCCCUGUUAGUGUUAUAUUAUUUACUUUAUGUUAUUGGAUUUUUAUUAUUAAUUGAUGGAUGGGUAAACAGCAUUUUAGUGUCAUAGUUGGUUGAGGUGAAACAAUGUUUUUUAAUUUAAUUUACUGUAGAACAAUACAUCAUAUUUUAUAUGCUUAUUGUAGGUUUUUAAAAUCUUAAUCUGCAAGGUAACUAACCUAUAACUGUCAGAGUAAAAAGUACAAAAUUACAUUAUCACCUAUGUGAAAUUUUGUAGAAGUAUUAAGUACAAGUACCUGCAGAACUGUACUUAAGUACUGUACAGUAGUUUGGUAACUGUACUUAGUUACUUCCCACCACUGCUUGUGCCACAUUUUAACGUGUCUAAUUGUGGGCUAGGGCUGGGUAUUGUAUGAAAUUUCUACAAUACUAGUGCAGAUAUGAUACCUGAGUUUCAGUACACAAGCACUUUAGCACUUAAAUUCUUACAGUUUCUUUUUUAAGCCGCCGUGCUGUCAAUGUCAAAUGUAUAGUCAAAUGUCUAUUUUAUAUUUUAACAUGUUUUCAUGUGAAGCAAUUGUCUAGCAUCAUCUCAAACGCUUCUCAUGUUUUUGUGAUGUUUUUUAUGUGAAGCAACGGACUGUAGCACUGUUCCCAAGACAAAUUUAGUCUUGGGGACAAUAAAGUUUAUCCUACUCUACCGAUUGUAAAAUGUUUUGGGUUUUUUUAUACCUUACUUUGAAUAAUAAAAACAUGAUUUUCUUUAAAA